GAUGAACGCUGGCGGCGUGCUUAACACAUGCAAGUCGAACGGAAAGGCCAGUGCUUGCACUGGUACUCGAGUGGCGAACGGGUGAGUAACACGUGGGUGAUCUGCCCUGCACUUCGGGAUAAGCCUGGGAAACUGGGUCUAAUACCGGAUAGGACAAUGGUUUGGAUGCCGUUGUGGAAAGUUUUUUCGGUGUGGGAUGAGCUCGCGGCCUAUCAGCUUGUUGGUGGGGUAAUGGCCUACCAAGGCGUCGACGGGUAGCCGGCCUGAGAGGGUGUACGGCCACAUUGGGACUGAGAUACGGCCCAGACUCCUACGGGGGGCAGCAGUGGGGAAUAUUGCACAAUGGGCGCAAGCCUGAGGCAGCGACGCCGCGUGGGGGAUGACGGCCUUCGGGUUGUAAACUCCUUUCGCUAGGGACGAAGCGUAUUUGUGACGGUACCUGGAGAAGAAGCACCGGCUAACUACGUG
RNAcentral lists this ribosomal RNA (468 nucleotides) under uncultured bacterium. Its description in RNAcentral is "partial 16S ribosomal RNA". It matches the Rfam family "Bacterial small subunit ribosomal RNA", at positions 28 to 507 of the family's 1533-position model. The record is from RNAcentral.